CAAAACAUUCCAUUUUAUCAUUAUUAAUCAAUGAAUGAGUCAAUCUGUCAAUGUCAAAGAUUUAAUUGGACUUAUAAGUAGUGAUUAUCUAUCUUUUUAACAAGGAUAUCGCACAAGACAUCUUCUUGUGAUAUAAUAUCACAUGCAGUUGCUUCACCAGUCAGACACUCACCGUCGCUUUACCAAAUCCUUCUACACUACAAUGUGCUAUCUUCCGAUCCUUCCAGAUUUCCAAUGUGCCUCGCCGCAGUAUGCCUUCCAAAACCAAUACACAUCUUAGAUUUGACUCUUAAAUCCACCCUUUCGAAUGAGGAGUGGUCACCACUCACCACACACCACUUGAUCUGGAAAGAAAAGAAACAGAACAGAACAGUAAUGCAUGCAUGUUAUUGGAUAAAAUUGCCGGCAGCCUAUAUAAUUUAAUAUCUACGUCUAACGCGGCUAUAUUGGGUCAACUUUCUCCUAUAAGAUCACAGGAACUGUUCAUAAUAGGAUAUUAGGAUUGGGUGGUAUCGCAGAAAAGGAAACCAAUAAUCGAAAUGUGUGGAGGUGCAAUACUCGCUGACAUAUUUCCAUCACGAACUGACGCUUUCCGGUCCAACCUGCAACGCAAUGGUCUAUUCUCUUCCGGCUCUUAUGAGGCUAAGGCAAAGCCACAGCCACAGCCACAGCCAGAAAAAGGUAACCAACCAACCAACAAACAAACAAACCUAUCUUAAUCUUCUCUGUGCAAUAGUGUGCAGUUGUGUUUGUGUCAUAUAUCGGAAUAAGUAUAUAUGUUCUGAAUUACAGGUAAGAAAAGAGUGAGAAAGAACAUGUACCGUGGGAUUCGGCAGAGACCGUGGGGGAAGUGGGCUGCGGAGAUUCGUGAUCCGACGAAAGGAGUUAGAGUCUGGCUUGGAACCUUCAACACUGCAGAAGAGGCAGCGCGUGCGUACGAUAGAGAAGCUCGUCGGAUCCGUGGCAAGAAGGCUAAGGUCAACUUUCCCAUCGAGGAACGACAGACGACAGCUCUGCUAAAACCAUCACAACACCAGCAGACUUAUCUUGCACCGCUGUCAGCUAAUAGAGUUUUGACAGAGGAGGUGAUCAGGAAGAUCCCUGAGGAGCUCCUAGCGAUGGAGUCUUACAUGAAAUUUCUCGAUGAGGAGCCAUAUAUGGGUAGUGCAGGCUCAUCUGCUUCCAACACUGUGAGCGCCGGUGAGAGUGCGCAAGACCUGCCACCCGCCGCCACUUCUUCUCUGGAGCUCUGGAGCUUUGAUGAUUCAGACCCCUUGACUCUUAACGCUUACUAGGAAAUAAGAUCUGUGUUUUAUU
RNAcentral lists this long non-coding RNA (1317 nucleotides) under Zostera marina. RNAcentral's name for it is "long non-coding RNA (ZMAR_LNC002208)". The record is from RNAcentral. Lineage: Eukaryota; Viridiplantae; Streptophyta; Magnoliopsida; Alismatales; Zosteraceae.